RNAcentral lists this ribosomal RNA (851 nucleotides) under uncultured bacterium. RNAcentral's name for it is "bacterial SSU rRNA". It matches the Rfam family "Bacterial small subunit ribosomal RNA", at positions 1 to 843 of the family's 1533-position model. The record is from RNAcentral.
UAGAGUUUGAUCCUGGCUCAGGAUGAACGCUGGCGGCGUGCUUAACACAUGCAAGUCGAACGGAGUUAUCAUUUUUGAAGCGACUAGCUUGCUAAGAGUGGAAAAGUUGAUAACUUAGUGGCGGACGGGUGAGUAACGCGUGGGUAACCUGCCUUACACAGGGGGAUAACACUUAGAAAUAGGUGCUAAUACCGCAUAAGCGCACAGUCCCGCAUGGGACAGAGUGAAAAACAUUAGUGGUGUAAGAUGGACCCGCGUCUGAUUAGCUGGUUGGCGGGGUAACGGCCCACCAAGGCGACGAUCAGUAGCCGGCCUGAGAGGGUGGACGGCCACAUUGGGACUGAGACACGGCCCAAACUCCUACGGGAGGCAGCAGUGGGGGAUAUUGGACAAUGGGGGAAACCCUGAUCCAGCGACGCCGCGUGAGUGAAGAAGUAUUUCGGUAUGUAAAGCUCUAUCAGCAGGGAAGAAAGAAAUGACGGUACCUGAGUAAGAAGCCCCGGCUAACUACGUGCCAGCAGCCGCGGUAAUACGUAGGGGGCAAGCGUUAUCCGGAAUUACUGGGUGUAAAGGGAGCGUAGACGGUAAUGCAAGUCUGGAGUGAAAGGCGGGGGCCCAACCCCCGGACUGCUCUGGAAACUGUGUAACUGGAGUGCAGGAGAGGCAGGCGGAAUUCCUAGUGUAGCGGUGAAAUGCGUAGAUAUUAGGAGGAACACCAGUGGCGAAGGCGGCCUGCUGGACUGUAACUGACGUUGAGGCUCGAAAGCGUGGGGAGCAAACAGGAUUAGAUACCCUGGUAGUCCACGCCGUAAACGAUGAUUACUAGGUGUGGGUGGGUAUGGACCCAUCGG